GUAUUAUAGACUUCAAGUGAAGUUGCUCUUGCCUGUUCCUGUCCAUGUGGCAUAUGGGAGUAAAAUGCACAGUUCUGUUCCAUGCUCCUAGACAGGAUGUCUAUCCCCAACCUCUAGAUUAGUGAGGACAUCACCCUGUGUGUAUUCACAGACUUCUCAAAGUCCUUAGUUAGACAAUGACUGCAAAGAAGGCAUGCAAUACACAGAU
Molecule: small nucleolar RNA, 208 nt
Filed under: Callorhinchus milii (elephant shark)
Lineage: Eukaryota; Metazoa; Chordata; Chondrichthyes; Chimaeriformes; Callorhinchidae
Description: Small nucleolar RNA SNORA73 family (ENSCMIG00000012273.1)
Source: RNAcentral